CUAGAUCUCACCGACCUGUUGAGAGGAAAGGAGCCAACCUGGCCUGGUGACCUUCUCUGUGCAAGCAGGGAGCAGGCACACACCACCAAUGAGUGAAGAAGGCUGCUGUGGCAUGCUCGGGACCUAGAGGGAACCUGCCUCAUUGACAGGGGACAGCAGCUGCACAGCUCCAGACAAUCGUUGUCAAGGACGGGAAUGAGAUUCUAACAUGGCUGAUCUGAUUUUUCAAGAAAGGUGAAAGACCCAAAUUCAUGGAAGAGAAGUGAGUCACACAGGGAGCCAGUGGCAGAGCCACACCCCACAGAGCAAUCAACAUGCUCUACUCUGCAGACCUGCAACAGGGAGGGAAGCCAGACUCUGAUGCAAGAAGGAAAGACCAUGUGCUGGCUCAGUGUGUGCAGCCUGGACUGAGCUACUGAACUCUAAAUCCAAGGAUGACUAAUAGGCAGAAUGACAUUAAUACCAGACCUGAUGAAGACAGCACAAAAAGUAAAUCUCAACACAACCUCACAAUAUUAAUAAAGCAAAAAUUUUAAAUACA
RNAcentral lists this long non-coding RNA (541 nucleotides) under Homo sapiens (human). RNAcentral's name for it is "non-protein coding lnc-BOD1-4:5". Lineage: Eukaryota; Metazoa; Chordata; Mammalia; Primates; Hominidae. The record is from RNAcentral.